CCCUUAGAUGUUCUGGGCCGCACGCGUGCUACACUGAUGCAUUCAACGAGUCUAAAACCUGGUCUGAUAGGGCUGGGUAAUCUUUUGAAAGUGCAUCGUGAUUGGGAUAGAUGAUUGCAAUUCUUCAUCUUCAACGAGGAAUGCCUAGUAAACGCAAGUCAUCAGCUUGCAUUGAUUACGUCCCUGCCCUUUGUACACACCGCCCGUCGCUCCUACCGAUUGAAUGAUCCGAUGAAUACCAUUGAUUGAGAGUACGAAUAGGUUCGCUUAUUUCUGCUGCUCGAGAAGUGGAGUAAAUCUUAUCAUUUAGAGGAAGGAGAAGUCGUAACA
Molecule: ribosomal RNA, 330 nt
Filed under: uncultured eukaryote
Lineage: Eukaryota
Description: partial 18S ribosomal RNA
Rfam family: Eukaryotic small subunit ribosomal RNA
Source: RNAcentral